AUUUCAAGAAGAAAGGGCGUUUGCUAGUUAGAUUGAAAAAAAAAAAAUCUGGUCCUAUUUGAAAUCCUUUUGUGAAAUGCUCAGAAUGACCUGGCAGAUAAUGAGUGACUAUGUAAAAUACAGUUAAUUGUUUGAAAUACGAAAAUUAUUUUAAAAUCUUAUUUAAUGCUAAUAGAUCAUUUUUCACGAGGGCCUCCUUUUCAACUGAACCAUUGUCUAGAAAAAUGUCACAGAUUUCAUAGUCGAUAAGCUUUAAUACAUAUGUUUGGAGUAGCGAUGAACAGCUAAUGGGUUCAUUAUUCACGACAAUUGUACAAGCACUGUUUUCGUCGUCAUCAUCCUCUAUAGACGUUAGCUAAUUUAUCCGCGGUAGGGCUCCUGAGCAGUGCAGUGUUGUUUCUGUUGUUGGGCAGACAGAGGAAUUAAUGCAAGGUGAAAGGCCGUGAUUCUCCAAGGUUCUAUUUCUGACCACUGAUCCCGCUGAAAUAUCAAAGACAAACUGUUGACAGUGAGCCAACAGAAAGGCAAAACGUUUGCCAGUUUGAUUGGAAAGUGUUGCUGGUGUUUACUUACCCAGAAGCCUUAAACGAAGCAGGGAUCUGGAAACAACGAAGAGCCCCACAUGCAUUUCCACUUUACUGCUCCAGCUACAACGCCAGACUCUCCGCCACCUGUGGAUAGCACCAGGGAGCUCCCCAUAUCCUUCCCUCCAGGGAGACAAAGCCAACUUUGCUUUUCUUAGAGCUCGCUCUUCUUCUUCUACCCAGAUCAUAAGGGGACCUCCUCAAAGUGAGCAUUUUCACCGUCAGGCCGGUUUGCAAUUCUCUCUCUCUCCAGCAAACAAUCUUUAGUCGCUUGUCCCUGUGACCCAGCAUGUGAAUCUUUUUUGGUCAAAUGCAUUCAUGGCUAUGGAAGAAGAGCUGGCCAGCUUCCUAGCUUCCUAGAAGCAGCAACACGUCACUGCCUUUUCUUCGUGAUCGUUUUUUGCACAUUUUUAUUUGGUUUGCCUAAAAGUGAUACAGAUGAAAUUAACCAGAAGUUAAUCUUAGAGGAUCUGGUAGCGCCACAGAUAGGCUAUUAAGAUUGUGGAACUCUUGAUCCCGCAAGGACCCAAAUCUUUCUUUUGGAGUUUUCCUGUGUUGGCUAAUUCAGCUUCAGAGUAAAGAGUCUUGAGUAGGCUGUGGAGGUUUGUACGGUUCCGGCACUUACUAAUUAUAUAAAUUUGGAAACUUGGGCAAAUCGUUUUGUUUCUUUAAAUUUUAGUUUCAUCAUCUAUAAAAUAGAAGUAAUCCAAGUGAAGUACUUAAUAAUGUCUACCUGAUAUCAAGCAUUAAAAAAUUGUGACUACUAUCUAUCAUUUCAUAGCAAUCAUAAUUUGAUAAGAAUGUAUAAAUGCAUAAAGGAAAUGUAUAAAAAGAAAUUGGAUCUUUUUAUCAGGAUAACAGAUUCCUUUGAAUUUUUUGGAAAAUGUUCAUAAUUUGUUUUAUUUGCUACUCCUAGAAAGAAAAUAUAACCUUCCUUAAGUACAAACAACUGGCUUGCCUAAGAUUUCCUAGAACCAUUUGAAUUUUGUGACCAAAAGCAAACUAGCUUUAUGCUACGUCUGCUUAUUCUUAUUUCCUUUUCUGAAAUUCCCCUUCAAAAAACCACUGACACUUCCUUAUAUUGUCCCUCCAAUCUUUCAAGCCAUCCCCGUGGCUGACCCUGGACUUUGUCACCAUGCCCUUUCUGCCAUUUCCUUAUAAUCCACAUAAUUUCUGGAAGCUGGAUGAAGAUAAAAAUGGAGCAGGUCUGUCCACAAGAGAUUAUAACAAUGAUUGUGGUGGAGAGGGCACCGAGGGGAGAAAUAGUUCAUCUGGAUCCUGGCAGAGGAGAGAAGGUCUUCAAAAGAUGAGUGCCCUGUAUUUAGCUUAAUUUUCUUUGGCUUUUCUUCUUAGGAACAAUUCUGGUCUGAAUUAUUUCUCUUGAGAUGGUGUCAACAGAGAGGCACAGCGGUUGCGAAACUUUUAUUAACUCUGGCACAGUCCCGUCCACAGGACACAAAACUUUUUCAAAGCUGGGAAGCAGUCGGUGGUUGGAAAAAAUAGAGAUGUGAGCAGUGGGAGGAGAGGGGAGCAGGCGGGGGUAUCGACGGGCCUCAGGAAGCUAAGUGGAGGCAUCUCGAAGUGUCCUCUUUCAGGGCAGCACUGGCAGAGCCCGGGACCUUGGGCUCAACAUAAGGGUUGGGAAGUGAUGAAUGUUCUCCAUAAAAAUAUAUGAGGAAGUUAAUCUUUUUGUUCAUAAAAGAAAGAAUACAGAGAAGCUGAGGUGGGCGAGGCUGGGAACUUGAGGGCAAGACAAAUGACUUUUAAGAAUAGAAAUGUCUAGUAUUCAAUUCUAGAUUUUUGGUGAAGAUGCAAAGCAAAUCUUUUCCUUUCCUUUCACACCUCUACAAAACUUUAGUAAAGUCUGCGACCCACACAGGGGCUCUUUUAUGUCUAGAAAUCAAGGGAAAGACCUGAGGUCAGUGUGUGAGUUAGUGUGGAACAGGAAACACUGAUUCAUCAAAGCCAAGAAGCUGGAACCUGAAGAAUCCAUGAGAACCAAAGUUCCAGAGGAAGUCACAAGAAUCUUAAGAAAGGCAAUGGAUUUUCUCUGGGUUGUUGUUUAGAGACUGAGAUCAAUCUUAUAAUAAUCUCAAUGGGGCAGCAUGACCCCAGAGGGCAGCUGAUGGUGAGUCCAAGGCCCUGACUGGAUUUGAAGCCUGCCUCAGCCAUAUUCUAGCUAGUUAAUAUGAAGAAGGUACAACUUGGCUUCUUCAUCAGUAAAGAGGGAAUAAUAUUUUUGUAAUAAUUGAUUCGGGGUUACCAAUGAAUACUAAAGUAGUUAGGUGAAGCAUUGUUGAAGAAACAGAAAUUCUAAAAGUAGCACCCCGCAUAUUACUUUUGAAUUAUAAGGGAAAAUGUGUCUUUCCAAUUGAGAAAUGGCAAGUGAUCGUGUAACUGAGACGUAUACAAGAGAUCAAACUGAAUGUCACCAAUAAUAAGAGUGAUAAUGGUACAAAGGUUUUAUGGAAGACCAUCCUUGGUUUGGGGAGAUCCAUGCUGAAAUAUUUAGAGGUAAAGUGUCAUGAUGUCUACACCUUACUUUAAAAUUCACCAUAUAUAUGCCAUGUGUAUAUAUAUAUAUACACAUACAUGUUAUAUAAUGUGCAUAUAUGUGUGUGUAUCUCUCUAUGUGUAGUCUCAUAUAUGCACGAGAGACAUAUAUAUGUAUAUGUGUGAUAUACACACACAUAUAUGUAUGUCUCUCUUUCUCACUUUUUCUCUCUCUAGAUAUCUUUCCCUAUCUCUCUCUCUCUAUAAAUCUAUUAUACAUGUUAUAUAGAUAAAGAUAUUUAUAGAGAGUGUACAAAUGGGGCAAAAUAUUAGCAAUCAGUGAAUAUAAGUGAAGAGUAUAUGAGUUUUUAUGCUACUACUCUUCCAGAUUUUUCAAAAUAAAAUGUUUACUGUGUAAAUAAUUCAAAGUACUAUACCCAGCACCGUGGCAGCUGCCACAUCUAUGCUCGUUUUGUGUUGAUGACCUUUUCCUCUAUUAGGCUUGUUCACUUUUCCUCAAUCAUGAUAGGCCCUCAUUAUGGUUAUUUAAAUAUACCUUGGGUCUAGUUACAUUGCCCUAAGAAAAAAGUAGUUUCUGAAAAGACAUAAAGCACAAAAAGGGCAGAGUGUGGUAAAAAUGCCAGGAGUGGCAGUAAUUGGCUGCUCCACAAGGUUGUUCUGUUCUCCAAAAGGGACAUCCCAUGCUGUUGCAUGUUAAAUAUUUUACAGAAUUAAGAGGAAGAAAUCAGUAGUUUGAAAAAAAAAACAAUAUCCAGAAUAUUAACCUUUCUCAAUCAAUACCAAAAUAGAGCAAAUGUUUUAUCUGAGUGCUGAUUUAGUAACGCAAAAUCAAGAUUAUUUUUUCUUAGUGCUUUUCUCCCCAAGGUAAUAGGUUUUAGCACCUGUGGAAAUGAUGAACAUUUAUUUGGAAGUUGCCUGAGGGGUCUGAAUUGUGUGCACAGUUAAUUAUACACCAUUAAAGAUAUUUCUGCCAAACCAGCUGCUCAACUUAACUAGUGGCCAGUGUGUGUCUUGAUUUUUAGGAUGAAGACUCCAGAAUUCCAGGAUAUUUUUUUCUUUUGCUGUGCCUACUUCAUAUCCUUAAAGCUGGAAUGGAUAUAGGAAAGAGACAAGAGGAAUAUACUCAGUCUGGGUCCCCUUUGGGUCAUGAUUCUCUUGAAUUCCACUUCUUCUGUUGGUGACUUUGUAAAUGAAUCCUUUUCUUAAUUCUAUUAAUCCUCAAAGCUCUCCUGGUGGAGAGAAGGGAAAAGCAAAUUAUUUAUCAAACCAACUUGUGAGGUGAGAAAACAGGGGGACUUAUGGGGAAAUUAUUUUCUAAACCAUGCAAUAGAAACUCAUCUGGCUUUCUUUUACCCCAUGUAUAUAAAGGAUUAUGUGAAAUAUAGGGAGAUGUGAAGAAGAAAAGAGUUUAGGACAUAGUUUCUGGUAACUAAAUAAUAGUAUUAACAACAACAGCAAUAUAAGAUAGUGUAUGUAUGUGAAAUUGCUAUGCAAACUGCAAACUUCUGCCCAAAUGCAAGUUACUAUUAUUUUAUUCAUCAUAGUUAUUAUUAUCAUCAUCAUCAUCAUCUUCAUUGUCGUCUAUGUUAUAAUGGUGGAGUUCUCAGGAAUUGUGAAGGAAGAAGAAAAAUGAUUUACUGUUUGGAAAAACUAAUUAUAAGCAAGUUUUGAGUGAAAGCUGACAUACUAAAGGUUUUUAAAGACCUAGUUGGGCAGGGAGCCAGGCAGGUGUAUUCAAAUGGAAGAUGCAGUAGGAGUGAUGGGGUGUGAGAGGGAGGAUGGCACCUGAAACUCUCUGAUGGCAGCAGAAUGGGACAGUAAUAGGAAUUUGGCAGUCAGGGUGGGAAGAAAAUGUGGGAGGAUGGGAGGUCCAGUAGCUGGAAGACAAUAAAGCCCAUAGUCUUAGAUUUUAACGGAAUUCAGGAAGCCGUAAAGAGCAACUAGGAUUCUAAGAAAAGAAAUAGCAUGACAAAGUGAUGCUUGGGAAGAUAAAGUCUUCUCAAGAUUUUCAAUAGAUUGUGGACAAUCAAAAGCAGAAGAGGAAGGAGGUUUUUAAGAUAGAGCAGAUUCAGGGAAAUAAAGAUCUUGCUUUGAUCAGCGAUGCUAAGACUGAGACAAUGGAUGUCUUGAGAGCACAGCUGGGCAUAUGCUCAAGAAGUAAAGCUUUGUUAGACAUUAGGUGUGUGGGAACAAAAGAAAGCUAAAAGAAGGCUUUGGAUCUAAAGUCAGAAAAGACUCUGAGAGCCUGGAAAGAAAGACAGACCUAUGUGAGACUCAUAUAUGUUGGAUGAGACUGGAAACCAGAUUAGGAUUAAAAACCGAUGCUUUUAGGAUUUUGUCACUCCCAGUCAUCAUCGGAAAACUGCUGAUCACUGGCUUCUGCUCUCUAGUUCUCUUUCUCCCAAGUUGCUCUGAAAGAACCUUCUGUCCAUCAGAGCUGCAGGGCCCCCAGUGACCUGCUUGCAGGCUCCCUUUAUGGUGUGGGGACAAAGGCAGUGCCAGGGCAGGGACUGUCAGCUUGCUGAGGCAUGCGUUUUAGGUACUACUGUUGUUUAGUUUCAGAGCACUUCAAAUAACAAGUGAUUUUAAAAAUGCCUCAUUGAUGUAACCUCUGUAUUACUGGCUCUUGCCCUCUCCUUGCAAAGAAAGAAUUGACUCCCCUGCAAGGUUCUGUCUCAAUUCAUAUGUGCUGUGUGGCACAGCCAUGUGCAUUUGUACACAGGGAGGAUGCGUGGGAUGCUGUAACUAUCUGGAACUGCCGUCCCUCUAUGGGGCUCCCAUUCUCAACACAGCUUCUCAUAGUUUUCUCUCCUGGCUGCACAAUGUUGUGGGAAGAAAGAAAUUUUAGAGUCCUUUUAAAAAAUUUAUCUUUUUAGUAUAUUCUGCUGGCAGGUUACCUAAACAGGACUCCUUAUACCAUCAUAUCAUAAAUUCAUCAUGAAAGUCAUUUAGUGUUUUACAUCAGUCCAAAGGCCUGGACUGGAGGACAAAUCUGGACAACAUACAACACCCACUGUAAUUAUAUAGACUCUUUGGAAAUAGAAAGAUGCUAUAUUUAUUUAGCAAUGCUUAUAUAGUUCUUGCUAUGUGCCAUGCCCUGUUCUAAGUGCUUUAUUUAAUUCUUUUAACAGCCCUAUGAGGUUGAUAUAACUAUUGUGAUCCUCCUUUUGAUUUUCAGAUGUGGAAACUGAGGCACAGAGAAACCAGAUAGGACGCUCACCCUCCCAGUAAGCUCGUGGCUGAACUUGAACCUAGAAUGAGCCUUCCUGACAAAAGUCCAAGAGGCAGCUUAACGGAGAACGUGGAGUGUUCCACUGCAUGAGGGUUUCGAGGCAACAUCAAUUUGGCCGUGAUACGUUUCCAUGGUUUCUACACUUAUCACUCUCUAUCUUGGUAAUGAGCACCAAUAAAAUAUGACCCGACUGGAUUAUAGCAAGAGAAGAAUCUGAAGAACACUCCUUUUAUAGUUUCUUCUCUUGUGAAACACUUGACUGACUCCUGCGAAGGCUAUCCUAAAUUUCGCUGGACGGUGCAGUCUGAGGUCAUCGGCUUUCCUUAUUUCAGGAGGGUUCCAUGCCGCAAUCAGAUCAAUAUUGUGUGCCUUGCCUGUGUUAUUAGGAGAAAGAGAUUUCUGCCUAGGAACUGGAGUGAGAAAAAUAAUGCUAGAGAGCAUCAUAAACAGGAAAAUACCCAGUGCUGCCAAUGUCUAUGAAAUAUGCAAAAAUCUGCAUCUCUUAUGGAUAAGUAACAGAUGGAGCUAUCAGAUAAUAGGAAAAAGAAAAAGAUAAAUUGUAAUAUAAUUGACCCUCCAGAGCUGUUUGGAGAAUAGACACACUGCACUCAACUUUCAGCUUGUUAGGGCUGGGUUAGGUGAUGGAAUGACGGGAGCAGUUUCUCAUAGUGUGAUGUUUUAAAGAUCACUCAGUCACACUUAGGUCCUUUGUGGAAGAUUCAACUUCUAGUUAUGUUUUCUGUGCCAUGUGGGCAGCCCUUUCAUUGAAGGAAUUCCCAGCUGUAUUGCCUUUUAAUAAAAAGAUGCACCAGGAUUGGGAAGAAAAGGCUUGCUCCCUGCAUGUUGAGCUGCACACGCCCCUCCUCCACCGCAGCCCUCUCCCUCUCUGCUCUCCAGCCCCUGGCUUCACUAGCAGCUGCCUCUCAGCCUCCCUUGUUGGGAAAGAGUGCUUACUAAUGGGCCUUCUGGCACCUAUCCUGGUGAGUGAAAGUGGCAUACAGGACCUUGUACUUCAAGCGUUUGGCAGAGCAAUACAACCGGAAAGCCGAGAGCCCCUGCAGUGCUGGGGCAGCGCUGCUGACAACAGGCACCCUUGCUGCUGGGGCCUUGACUGCUGCUGACGCCUGAGUCAGGCACGGAGCAUCCCUGGCAGAAGGUCAGAGGGACCUGUUUUCCCUGAGCACUGAGAAACCCCCUCUAGCAACCACUGAUGACAGCUGGUGAAAAGCAAGUUUCUUUUCUUUUUUAAUAAAAUUGAGAAAAAGAGAGAGAAAAGAAAUUUAAGUUCAAGGCUAACUGAACAGAGGUUGCACAGUGACCGUGAAAACUCCUAUCCAUUUUCAUGUUCAGAGACAUCUUGGAGAUCACAGGUUGAGAGUGCAGAAUAGAAAAACCACCUUGUUUUGAAAUCCUCAAAUGUUUACGUCCAGGGAGAAAGCUCUGGCCAUGGCCAAGCAUGGUGUGCCGAGCGGUGCCACGUCCAUACCCAGGAUCCGAACUGGCGAAUCCCGGGCCGGUGAGAAGCGGAACAUGCGAACUUAAACACUGUGCCACCGGGUGGCCCCUACAAAGUUGUCGGUGACAUGAAUCUCGGCUCCAUUCUACACGGAGUAUUUCUGAGCUAAUUCUCACAGCCCCUACAUUUCAAGAGAUGAACAUACACACCAGAAGGACAUUACAGGAAAAUUGGAUUGCUCGACUGUGAGUGAGAUAUGGAAAGGCCUUUUCCCCACCAAGCAGCAGACGAAAUUGUAACAGCCAGAUCACUGCGAGGGCCCCGCCCACCUUGCCAAUCUCCAAGCUUUCAAAGGUCUCUGUCCAGCGGUGGAUCAAACACCUAGUAAUGCAUCCUGGGAGCAGAGAGGCUCCAGUCUCUUUCACAUUCAGUUAAAAUAAGGAGGGAUGGCAUCUAUGAAGAUGCGCACACCCAAUGAUGUGCAUAUGCACCACAAGAUGACAUGUGCACACCGGUGUGCACAGACCAGCAGGUCGGGGGACUCUCCAUGGCUAUCGUCUUCCUCGUAUGACUGGGAGACCCAAGCUGCUUGGAUCGUAUGGCUGUGACAUUUCAAUACCUGGUCUCCACAUUUACUGCCAACAAGAAAGCAAGGGAUGUGAAAUCACAAAGGGAGUGUUUAAUCCUCCAGCAUGGAAGUAACACACGCAUCACAUCGACUCACAUUCAUUUGUCACAACCUGCCAUAAAGCCCUUUUUACCUGCCUGAAGGCUGGGAAGUAUCAUCUUCUGUAUGUGUAGACAGGAGAGGAGAAUCAGCUACUGGCGGGCACUAAUGAGAUCUAUCACACAUACUUUAAUAAAAAUAAUUUUUAGGGAUAUCUAAUAUAAAUUAUAUGUUGUAACCAUGAUAGAAAAAAUAUUGGCUAAUGUUUGUCAUAAAUUAACGGUGGAUGAAAUCUAUUUAAGUAAGAUAAAGAAUUUAUCUAACAUAAGAAAAAAAGAGGCAACUUUAAUUACAAAAUGUUAAAAUGUUUGUUGAUUAAGGAAAACCAUAAACAAAGUCAAAUCUAAGCAAAUCAAAAUGUAAGUAACAAAAUGUUAAUCUCCCUAAUGUACAAAUAAGCUCCAAUAAAUGGAAUGGAAAAAACCCAGAACAAUGGAAAAAAGGCACGUGCAUAAUAUUUACAGAAGUGGUAAUUAAACUGAUAAUGAUGCUUAUACUGACUAGUAAUUAGUGAAACAUUUUACCCAUCAGAGCUACAGAAUUGUUCAGAUUGAUAAUUUACAGUUCCAAUGAAGUUAUGGGGAAAUAGAUGUUAGUUUCACACACUAUUGGAGGGAAUGUAAAUUACACUAAUCUUGUGGAAAGUAAUUUGAAGUGAUAUAUUCAAAUUUUAUAUAUGUCAGUCCUAUAACUCAGCAAUUCCAUGUCAGGGAAUCUACACAAAAAAAUACUUGUAUAGAGCCUGAAGCAUGUAAGUUCAAGAAUGCUCAUUUCAAUAUUGUCUGUAAUAGUACAAAAUAAGUGCCAACCUAAAUACCCAUUAAUAAGGGACUGGUUAAACAAUUCAUAGUUUAUCCAUUGCAUGCAAUUCUAUAUGCCUCCAAAACUAUAGACUUACUCCCCAAAAUGAUUGUUCAGUUACUAUCUUUUUGCCAUAAUGCCAUUUGAAAAUUUAUACCACUUUUCGGUGACUUUCAUUUUAUUUUUUUAGUAGCAGUGCUUUCACCUAAAAACCUACAAAAUAGGGGGCCGGCCCCGUGACCGAGGGGUUAAGUUCUUGCGCUCUGCCUUUGGCGGCCCAGGGUUUUGCUUGUUCGGAUCCUGUGCGUGACCAUGGCACCAGUCAUCAGGCCACGUUGAUGCGGUGUCCCACAUGCCGCAACUAGGAGCCACAACUAAAAAUAUACAACUAUGUACUGGGGGAAUUGGGGGAGAAAAAGCAGAGGAAAAAAAAAAGAAGAAGAUUGGCAACAGUUGUUAGCUCAUGUGCCAAUCUUUAAAAAAGAGAAAAAAUAAAUAAAUAAAAUAAAAAUAAAAACCUACGAAAUAAAUAUGACCUAAAAAACUAUAUUUUGACUUUAUUAUUUUAGACAAGGGCACACUCAAAAUUUACUCAAUACAAAAAUUUCUAUGCAGAGACGAUAUGUGGGACAGAUUUCAAUUGCUGUCAGAUUUGUCUUCCUUUGUAUGGGCACACAGAACACGAGGGAUAAAGAAGCAGCAACUUCUAUGACUCUGGUCUUUUAUGCACAUGUACUCCUAUUUGUAAAUGUUUUGACCCACUCUUGUGUUUAGUCUUUAUUUUCAAGUGUACUUUGAAUUAAAGUUAACUGUGAGCCCCCAAAUAGCUCAAAAACUGAUAAGUAAGUGUUGUUGUAGAAAGAAAAGUUAGGAAAAUUUUAAUCGUGGAGCAAAGGAUGAGUGAAAUAAAAGAGGAUGGAAGCAGGAGACAGAAGUAAAGAUUCUGCAGUCUUUUAGGAUAGUUCACUCUGCUUAAUACGCGAUCUUGAAUGCCUGGCUGAAGGUCGGUUACCUGAUCUCCCCUAGUCCUCCUUAGAACACCUCCCUCGCACCUCUGCUCCACCUGCCCAUUCACUGUCUGCCCCGCCUUAGUGAGUACACUGAACUUUCAUGAUGUUAUUGCAUUGACUUCCUUCAUAAAAAGCUGAUUUUGUUUUCCCUCAAAUUGUUUCUUAUUGCUUAUGUAAACUUGGUUUUAUUGUCAAUCAAUCGGUUUUUCUUCGUGAAAAUUGUUUUGGCGUCUUAGGUUGGCAGGAAGGAAAACAUAGGCCAGAAAGGAAAUCCUUGAAAGGAAUCAUAAUUUUUCCCAUUAAAAUUGAUAUAAAUAUUGCUUUUCAAUUUAAACGACUUUAUAGCUAGUGGCAUAGUUUGAGUUGUGAAUUAAAUUUGUUAAGCAGGCCAUGAGCAUAUUAAAGAAAUUUGUGCAUAAGGCUGUGCAAGGUUAUCUGUGAUUGGUAAGUGGAAAAAGAAAGUUGCUGAAUAUUAUAUGUUAUGAACUCAUUUUUGUAAAAAUGAUCUGGAAUGACAUUAUUAAUAGUGAUUAUGCCUGGGCUUCUAGAAUGCUAGUUAUUAGUUAUGAGAGAUCUGAGACACAGUGCUAAGGAUCCCAGCUCUAUAACUUGUUCACUGUAAAACUUUGGCCAACAUAGCUCUCCUCAAAAGCUUCACUUUUUUGUAACCUGAAUAUCACAGAUCAUAAUUAUUCUACCUCACAGGGUGGUUGUGAUGAUUCAAUGAGGUAAUCAACUGCCAGACACAGUAGGUGGGCUACACAUUGUAGCCAUUGUUAUUAUUUUAUGUACAUCUGUAUUGUUCAUUUAUUUUAAAAUGAACACGUCUUAACUUUGUAAAAAGAUUAAAAUAGAUCUAUAAGUUGUGUUGAGCUUUUAUUUAUUUAUUUAUUUUGAGGAAGAUUAGCCCUGAGCUAACUACUGCCAGUCCUCCUCUUUUUGCUGAGGAAGCCUGGCCCUGAGCUAACGUCGUGCCCAUCAUCCUCCACUUUAUAUGUGGGACGCCUACAACAGCAUGGCGUGCCAAGCGGUGCCAUGUCCACACCCAGGAUCCGAACCAGUGAACCCCGGGCCGAGGAGAAGCGGAACGUGCAAACUGAACUGCUGCGCCCCCGGGCCGGCCCCUGGGCUGAGCUUUUAGAAUAGGUUUUCCUAUAUCACAAAUGACUCCUCUUUCCUGAAGAAUUUGAAUAAAUGUGUAAAUUUGGAUAAAUUUGAAUAAAUGCUUAUCUGAACCAACCGUCGAUUCCUGGGUCUAGUGUUUGCUCUGUUUCCACACUCCUGCUACAGCCUGAUGGAGAUGCUUCUCUAGUUCUUGACUCCCAGGUAAGGUCUUUUCAUUUUGAGUACCAUAAUUUUAAAUGACAAAUGAAAUACGAGUUUUCUUCACAUAAUGUAUAAAUGCAUACCGAUUAAUACCAUUUAUUAAUUCUUGCUUCUGUCUCAUGUGGCUUUUUGUUUUCAUGUUUUGAGGGGAGAAGAGACUUGGCUAUGAGAACACCUUAAUGUGGAAACCCUGAGUUCGUGGUUUCCACUCACCUGUUUGCCAGCGAGGCUGAUAAAUGGUGCUGGGUAAGGAAGCUGGGAGCUUCUGGAAAUGUGACAGAAACCCUCUGUCCACCACCACACCAGAGACACGGGGCCCUUAGAGGUAAAUUCAUGAGGUUAAGGGCAAGCAAAAC
This 12006-nucleotide long non-coding RNA is filed under the name Equus asinus (donkey). Its description in RNAcentral is "lncRNA (ENSEASG00005035778.1)". Lineage: Eukaryota; Metazoa; Chordata; Mammalia; Perissodactyla; Equidae. The record is from RNAcentral.